GGUUAAGCGACUAAGCGUACACGGUGGAUGCCCUGGCAGUCAGAGGCGAUGAAGGACGUGCUAAUCUGCGAUAAGCGUCGGUAAGGUGAUAUGAACCGUUAUAACCGGCGAUUUCCGAAUGGGGAAACCCAGUGUGUUUCGACACACUAUCAUUAACUGAAUCCAUAGGUUAAUGAGGCGAACCGGGGGAACUGAAACAUCUAAGUACCCCGAGGAAAAGAAAUCAACCGAGAUUCCCCCAGUAGCGGCGAGCGAACGGGGAGCAGCCCAGAGCCUGAAUCAGUAUGUGUGUUAGUGGAAGCGUCUGGAAAGGCGCGCGAUACAGGGUGACAGCCCCGUACACAAAAAUGCACAUAUUGUGAGCUCGAUGAGUAGGGCGGGACACGUGGUAUCCUGUCUGAAUAUGGGGGGACCAUCCUCCAAGGCUAAAUACUCCUGACUGACCGAUAGUGAACCAGUACCGUGAGGGAAAGGCGAAAAGAACCCCGGCGAGGGGAGUGAAAAAGAACCUGAAACCGUGUACGUACAAGCAGUGGGAGCACGCUUAGGCGUGUGACUGCGUACCUUUUGUAUAAUGGGUCAGCGACUUAUAUUCUGUAGCAAGGUUAACCGAAUAGGGGAGCCGAAGGGAAACCGAGUCUUAACUGGGCGUUAAGUUGCAGGGUAUAGACCCGAAACCCGGUGAUCUAGCCAUGGGCAGGUUGAAGGUUGGGUAACACUAACUGGAGGACCGAACCGACUAAUGUUGAAAAAUUAGCGGAUGACUUGUGGCUGGGGGUGAAAGGCCAAUCAAACCGGGAGAUAGCUGGUUCUCCCCGAAAGCUAUUUAGGUAGCGCCUCGUGAAUUCAUCUCCGGGGGUAGAGCACUGUUUCGGCAAGGGGGUCAUCCCGACUUACCAACCCGAUGCAAACUGCGAAUACCGGAGAAUGUUAUCACGGGAGACACACGGCGGGUGCUAACGUCCGUCGUGAAGAGGGAAACAACCCAGACCGCCAGCUAAGGUCCCAAAGUCAUGGUUAAGUGGGAAACGAUGUGGGAAGGCCCAGACAGCCAGGAUGUUGGCUUAGAAGCAGCCAUCAUUUAAAGAAAGCGUAAUAGCUCACUGGUCGAGUCGGCCUGCGCGGAAGAUGUAACGGGGCUAAACCAUGCACCGAAGCUGCGGCAGCGACACUAUGUGUUGUUGGGUAGGGGAGCGUUCUGUAAGCCUGUGAAGGUGUGCUGUGAGGCAUGCUGGAGGUAUCAGAAGUGCGAAUGCUGACAUAAGUAACGAUAAAGCGGGUGAAAAGCCCGCUCGCCGGAAGACCAAGGGUUCCUGUCCAACGUUAAUCGGGGCAGGGUGAGUCGACCCCUAAGGCGAGGCCGAAAGGCGUAGUCGAUGGGAAACAGGUUAAUAUUCCUGUACUUGGUGUUACUGCGAAGGGGGGACGGAGAAGGCUAUGUUGGCCGGGCGACGGUUGUCCCGGUUUAAGCGUGUAGGCUGGUUUUCCAGGCAAAUCCGGAAAAUCAAGGCUGAGGCGUGAUGACGAGGCACUACGGUGCUGAAGCAACAAAUGCCCUGCUUCCAGGAAAAGCCUCUAAGCAUCAGGUAACAUCAAAUCGUACCCCAAACCGACACAGGUGGUCAGGUAGAGAAUACCAAGGCGCUUGAGAGAACUCGGGUGAAGGAACUAGGCAAAAUGGUGCCGUAACUUCGGGAGAAGGCACGCUGAUAUGUAGGUGAAGUCCCUCGCGGAUGGAGCUGAAAUCAGUCGAAGAUACCAGCUGGCUGCAACUGUUUAUUAAAAACACAGCACUGUGCAAACACGAAAGUGGACGUAUACGGUGUGACGCCUGCCCGGUGCCGGAAGGUUAAUUGAUGGGGU
RNAcentral lists this ribosomal RNA (1863 nucleotides) under Escherichia coli. RNAcentral's name for it is "partial 23S ribosomal RNA". It matches the Rfam family "Bacterial large subunit ribosomal RNA", at positions 1 to 1890 of the family's 2925-position model. Lineage: Bacteria; Pseudomonadati; Pseudomonadota; Gammaproteobacteria; Enterobacterales; Enterobacteriaceae. The record is from RNAcentral.